RNAcentral lists this ribosomal RNA (322 nucleotides) under uncultured eukaryote. Its description in RNAcentral is "partial 18S ribosomal RNA". It matches the Rfam family "Eukaryotic small subunit ribosomal RNA", at positions 1470 to 1796 of the family's 1831-position model. The record is from RNAcentral.
CCCUUAGAUGUUCUGGGCCGCACGCGUGCUACACUGAGUAAUUCAAUGGGUAAGGGAACGCUAGAGCAUUACCUAUUCUUGAAAUUUGCUCGUGAUGGGGAUCGACGGUUGCAAUUUUCCGUCGUGAACGAGGAAUACCUUGUAGGCGCAUGUCAUCAUCAUGCGCCGAAUACGUCCCUGCCCUUUGUACACACCGCCCGUCGCUCCUACCGAUUGAGUGAUCCGGUGAGGCUCUGGGACCUGGACGGAAAGAGCGUUUCGCUUGUUCUGUUUGGGAAACUUGGUCGAACCUUAUCAUUUAGAGGAAGGAGAAGUCGUAACA